This 79-nucleotide transfer RNA is filed under the name Camelus bactrianus (Bactrian camel). It matches the Rfam family "tRNA". From Rfam's summary of the family: Transfer RNA (tRNA) molecules are approximately 80 nucleotides in length. Their secondary structure includes four short double-helical elements and three loops (D, anti-codon, and T loops). The record is from Rfam by way of RNAcentral. Lineage: Eukaryota; Metazoa; Chordata; Mammalia; Artiodactyla; Camelidae. RNAcentral also lists the same sequence under 2 other names.
GGAUAUAGCUCAGUGGUAGAGCAUGUGCUUAGCAUACACAGCAUACACGAGGUCCUGGGUUCAAUUCCCAGUACCUCCA